This 520-nucleotide ribosomal RNA is filed under the name uncultured Glomus. Its description in RNAcentral is "SSU rRNA". It matches the Rfam family "Eukaryotic small subunit ribosomal RNA", at positions 569 to 1089 of the family's 1831-position model. Lineage: Eukaryota; Fungi; Glomeromycota; Glomeromycetes; Glomerales; Glomeraceae. The record is from RNAcentral.
AGCAGCCGCGGUAAUUCCAGCUCCAAUAGCGUAUAUUAAAGUUGUUGCAGUUAAAAAGCUCGUAGUUGAAUUUCGGGAUCAAUAUAUCGGUCGUGCCUUGGUACGUACUGGUAUCAUUGGUUUCUCCUUUCUGACGAAUCAUGAUGUCAUUAAUUUGGUGUUAUGGGAAGUUAGGACUGUUACUUUGAAAAAAUUAGAGUGUUCAAAGCAGGCUUUAGCUUGAAUACAUUAGCAUGGAAUAAUGAAAUAGGACGUUCGAACCUAUUUUGUUGGUUUCUAGGAUCAACGUAAUGAUUAAUAGGGAUAGUUGGGGGCAUUAGUAUUCAAUUGUCAGAGGUGAAAUUCUUGGAUUUAUUGAAGACUAACUACUGCGAAAGCAUUUUGCCAAGGAUGUUUUCAUUAAUCAAGAACGAAAGUUAGGGGAUCGAAGACGAUCAGAUACCGUCGUAGUCUUAACCAUAAACUAUGCCGACUAGGGAUCGGAUGAUGUUAAUUUUUUCAAUGACUCAUUCGGCGCCUU